Molecule: long non-coding RNA, 886 nt
Organism: Caretta caretta (loggerhead turtle)
Lineage: Eukaryota; Metazoa; Chordata; Testudines; Cheloniidae
Source: RefSeq, a predicted model, not a curated record
UCUGUGCUCUUUUCCCUCUUUCAGUGCAGAUAAUGACGACUGACUGAGGGGUUUUGCCUAUUAUGGGAGGUUAUUUUUAAUCUAGUCUUAUAGCUGAGGAUGUUAAGGACCACUAGUUAGACGCAUCCCACCCACUACUAAGGCAAUUCUUUUUUAAAUGUCACCUGCCUGAGAAUUCCAUUCACUGCCAUGUACAAGAACAUGUAGCCAAGAAUAUGGUCCUAUGGGAACACUGUCUUCUGAGAACAAGUGCAGGAUGAAAAAAACAACAAUGUUGUAUUUCAAUCACCACUUCUCUGGAUUUCUGCUUAUACCCUUCAGGAAGAAUAAGUCAGGGUUGUGAAUGCCCUGUCUACCUUGCGAGCCAUGGACAAUGGGGAUACACCAGUAGUAAGCAAAGCAAUCAGCUCCCAGGCAGAGGGGAAGACUGCAUUUGCAUUGUAAAAUUGCAGCAGGAAACAUCAUAUGAGAACUCACCAGGAGCGGGCGCUUUGAUCAAGGUGGUGUCACCCCCUCCCACCCCCAGAAGAGACAGAAGACUGAAUCCCCCAGGACACCUUCCUGGCUCUUGACACCAGGACAAUGAACUUUGGGGGAAUAUAUGGACCUGGAAAAAAGAUGUUGGGUUAUCCUUCACCUGAGGAGGCAAGGAAACAGAGAGCUUUGUGCUCUGUGUUGGAUCCUGGCUGAAGACUGGCCAGCUGUGCUGGAAGAAUGACUAUGGUGAGAAUGAAAACUACUUUGAACAAAAGAUUCUAGUUUGUUAAGUUGGAUUUUAGAUUUAGAAGCAUAUUUGUACUUGUAUCUAUUUGUAACCAUUUCUAUCCCUGUUCCUUCUGCUUGGCAUCAUUUAAAUCUGGGUUCUACCGUUAAUAAACUUGUUAUC